CGGCCGCAGAUCCCGGCAACUUGCGAGCCGGGAAAAGUUUGCGGCGCCUCCGCGGGGCGGCGCGGCGCGGCGCGUCCCGCCCCUCGCGUCCGCGGUCACCGCGGGUGACUUUCUCGACUCGUCGUCAGCCGGGGCCGCAGCGCGGCCGGCGGGGACUGCGGGGAGGGCCGGAGUCCGUCCGAGGGCUCCCGCACCUCGGGCUGCGGGAACAUUAAAAUCUCCCCAGAUGCUCACUGCUCUGAUCAUUUCCCCUACAGCACCAGACAUGUUGGCAUCAUCUCUUAGUUGGGCCCUGUGGCCAGGGAACCCCUCAUGAAACCACCUCUGCAGUCCUGGAGAGUUGCUGUAGAAGAAGGAAAAGAGAGGAAGACAACACAACGCAGGAGGGGAUAAGUACCUCUGGACACAAUGGAAGUAGUAGUUGUUGAGCAGAGGGAAAGGGAUAGGGGAAGGAUGUGGACUGCAGUGCUGCAGUGCCAGGAAGUUCAAGGACCUUCAGAAAUCAAUCCAUGGGCUCCACAAACACUGUAUCAAGAGGCAUUCGAGACCAGCCUGGGCUAGAGGUGGACGUGAGAGAAAGAUCCCAUAGCCCUCUUGGUCUUGGUUGGAACAGGAGGAAAACUGGACAUCCAUCUUAGGACUUAAUCCUACGGAGACGACAAGCUG
This 666-nucleotide long non-coding RNA is filed under the name Pongo abelii (Sumatran orangutan). RNAcentral describes it as "lincRNA". Lineage: Eukaryota; Metazoa; Chordata; Mammalia; Primates; Hominidae. The record is from RNAcentral.